UUCCCCUACUAUUGUAAAGCGGCUUUGAGGUCUCGAAAAGCGCUAUAUAAAUUCAAUUUAUUAUUAUUAUUACUUUAAGCGUGGAUUUACAACAGAUGAAAUACUCCAUUUACUUGCUGAUUCACAUGGGGUUGAACUAAGCAAGCGCACCCUUGAAAGAAUUUUGAGCAGGAAGCAGCUGUGGCGUCGAAAGAAUAAAACUGAUGUAGCUGAGGUGGCAAAUUUUAUUGAACAGCGACUGGAAACAUCUGGUCAGUGUCAUGGUUACAGAUGGAUGCACCAAAAAUGUUGGUUACAUGGAAUUGUGACUAACAGAGAAACAGUGUGAAUACUGCUGCAGUUAUUGGAUGGUGAAGGUGUUGAUCUGAGGUCAACAAACAGACUGCGAAGGCGCGUUUACCACAGCUGUGGUCCAAACUAUGUAUGGCACAUUGAUGUCUACGACAAGCAGAAGCCAUUUGGAAUCGCAAUCAGUGGAUGCAUUGAUGGGUUUUCCAGAAAGAUGAUAUGGCUUGAAGCUUACAAAACAAACAAUGAGCCAAAGAUCAUCGCUGGCUACUUCAUUGAUGCUGUUAUCAAUGCUGGAAGAACUUAAUGAGGUUGUAUUGACUUGGAACAACCACAGAGUCCGUCUAGUCCAUAACUCACGGUCACCCCAUGGACGUCCCUCCAUAUGACAUGCAGUCCCUCAUCUGUACGGAGGCAGAGAGCGUUUGCACUCUGUGGACCUGGAGAAGGUUCACGUCUGCCUUGACGAGUGUGUGUUCAAGGGUUAGGACUUCCCAUGUGAUGAAGAUGUGUUCCAUAUCUGUGUGGACCUCAUGUCAGAGUAUAACCUGACAUUAACGAAUGAUGUGUUUGAAACCAUUGACCUGUACAUCCAACUCAGACAGCUGAUGAACAAUGAACUAGAUCUAGAUCAUUAACUUUCCUGGGCUAGUGUCACAAUUUAUAUGUCAUAUUAUAUUAUAUUAUUUGUUUCCUGUUUAAUUCCAGGACAAAUUGAUCCCCUCUGCAUUCUUUCCAUCUGGAAAAAACAACUGCACAAGUUUCGUGCUGCCGUGCGUUUUGGUUGCGCCUCGGUAUACGCUUUACACUAAGUGAUGAGUUGCUGACAGCAGGAAGAGGCAGAGGGAGGACAGCAGCUCCAGAGGCCUCGAGGAGCCUCCUGAGAGAAGACUCCGUGGGGAUGCUGCCGUGCUGUCACAGCGUAGCUCCAGCCCGCAGCCCUCCACCUCUUCCUCUACCCCACCACAGGCCAGGCAGGAGGAUGUCCAGUUGGAGGUUCAGGUAAGACAGGUGAUCCAGCCAGGACACCCCAGGAGCCUAUGGACGACAGUCAGCCUGACGACGACGCGGCCUUGUCCCUCCUGCCGCAGCCCCGUGGUCUCUCACCCUCUGCUUUUCUUACAGUGUCCGAGAGCAUCAUGGCCUGGAUGUCUGACUGUGAUGUGAAACUCCUGCCGGAAACAGGCCUGGUGCAGAGCUCCACUGCAGGACCAGCCAGUAGCUGUGACAGGACCACACACACACACACACACACACACACACACACACACACACACACACACACACACACACACAC
Molecule: long non-coding RNA, 1585 nt
Organism: Cottoperca gobio
Lineage: Eukaryota; Metazoa; Chordata; Actinopteri; Perciformes; Bovichtidae
Exons: 4
Source: RefSeq, a predicted model, not a curated record